CCGGCACGGGUGAGUAACACGUAUCCAACCUGCCGUCUACUCUUGGACAGCCUUCUGAAAGGGAGAUUAAUACAAGAUGGCAUCAUGAGUCCGCAUGUUCACAUGAUUAAAGGUAUUCCGGUAGACGAUGGGGAUGCGUUCCAUUAGAUAGUAGGCGGGGUAACGGCCCACCUAGUCUUCGAUGGAUAGGGGUUCUGAGAGGAAGGUCCCCCACAUUGGAACUGAGACACGGUCCAA
This 237-nucleotide ribosomal RNA is filed under the name uncultured bacterium. Its description in RNAcentral is "partial 16S ribosomal RNA". It matches the Rfam family "Bacterial small subunit ribosomal RNA", at positions 100 to 334 of the family's 1533-position model. The record is from RNAcentral.